RNAcentral lists this ribosomal RNA (328 nucleotides) under uncultured eukaryote. RNAcentral describes it as "partial 18S ribosomal RNA". It matches the Rfam family "Eukaryotic small subunit ribosomal RNA", at positions 1470 to 1796 of the family's 1831-position model. The record is from RNAcentral.
CCCUUAGAUGUUCUGGGCCGCACGCGCGCUACACUGAUGAAUUCAACGAGCCACACCUUGGUCGGAAGGCCUGGGUAAUCUUGUAAACGUUCAUCGUGAUGGGGAUAGAUUAUUGCAAUUAUUAAUCUUCAACGAGGAAUCUCUAGUAAACGCAAGUCAUCAGCUUGCAUUGAAUACGUCGAAUGUCCUUUGUACACACCGCCCGUCGCACCUACCGAUUGAACGGUCCGAUGAAAUCUCCGGACUUUCGCCUGGUCUUGUUUCGGCAAGAACGCGUGAAGGGAAGUUGAUUAAAUCUUACCGUUUAGAGGAAGGUGAAGUCGUAACA